Microcebus murinus (gray mouse lemur) is the source of this 303-nucleotide non-coding RNA. NCBI's taxonomy places the organism in Eukaryota, Metazoa, Chordata, Mammalia, Primates, Cheirogaleidae. The record is from RefSeq and is a predicted model, not a curated record.
AAGGCCUGUAAGUUUAUGACAAGAGAGGGGCAAUUUCAUUCACCCUACUGUCAAUUCUAGUAAAAGGGAGAUGAGAACAUCCAAAUCACAGUGAACCAAUUAAGUGACCACUGUCUGCCAACCACUGUUAGGUCAGUGGAUAAAAGAAGUGAGGAAAAAUUUUUGCUAACAGUUUAAAGGUUGAGACAGAGAAGAGAAUGCACUGACUUACAAGUUGGCAAGUGCCUGAGCAAUAAUCCUGAGAACUACUUCCGUGCAUCAAAUACAAUUAAUGUAAUACUUUAAAGAAUAAGUAAACAGAUA